AAAAAAAAAAAAAAAAAAACUGUCCUGUUAAUUUUAAUCUGCUGUACAAGACAUACUUUGAUCCUCUAAUAUAUGCACUCUGUUUUGUGUAUAUGCUGCUAUUCUUUUUCCCCCUUUCAUUUGUUCUGGCUGGUGAGUUGUUUCUGUAUGAUGCUUUGUCUCAUUUGAACAAAUCAUACGGAUAAGAUUGGGUUGGAUGAGCCCAAGCAGGCUGGCAGAAAGAGAUGAGUUCAUCUAUAAUUGUUAGGUGAAAUAUUAUCUGUGAAAAUUGAUACUUUUCUUCAGUAAUGUUAUGUUUGUUAAGAAGGGGUAUGAUGAAACAGCAGGAGCAUCCGUGUUGCUUCAAUUUACUCGAAAAACUAGUGAGUCAUGAAGAGAGUUUCUGGUGAAAUGAGAAGUUCCAUAGGUAGUUUACCCUGCCGUUGUCAUGAAAGCAUUUAGCUGCCAGAUAUAUAUUUGCAGUUUUGAACAAGAAAAUUUAAAAAUAUUUGAUAGG
RNAcentral lists this unclassified non-coding RNA (496 nucleotides) under Hevea brasiliensis (rubber tree). Lineage: Eukaryota; Viridiplantae; Streptophyta; Magnoliopsida; Malpighiales; Euphorbiaceae. The record is from RNAcentral.